GCGGGCGUAAUUCAAUUGGUAGAAUGCUUCCUUGCCAAGGAAGAUGUUUACGGGUUCGAGCCCCGUCGCCCGCU
Molecule: transfer RNA, 74 nt
Filed under: Anaerolineae bacterium
Lineage: Bacteria; Bacillati; Chloroflexota; Anaerolineae
Description: tRNA-Gly
Rfam family: tRNA
About the family: Transfer RNA (tRNA) molecules are approximately 80 nucleotides in length. Their secondary structure includes four short double-helical elements and three loops (D, anti-codon, and T loops).
Source: RNAcentral